AACGAACGCUGGCGGCAUGCCUAACACAUGCAAGUCGAACGUGAUCCGGGACUUCGGUUUCGGUGAAAGUGGCGGACGGGUGAGUAAUACAUGGGUAACCUACCCUUGAGUGGGGAAUAACUAGCCGAAAGGUUAGCUAAUACCGCGUACGCUUCUUGGACUUCGGUUCAGGGAGGAAAGCGAUGCCGAGGGUAUCGCGCUCUUGGAUGGGCUCAUGUCCUAUCAGCUUGUUGGUGAGGUAACGGCUCACCAAGGCUUCGACGGGUAGCUGGUCUGAGAGGACGAUCAGCCACACUGGCACUGCGACACGGGCCAGACUCCUACGGGAGGCAGCAGUAAGGAAUAUUGCGCAAUGGGCGAAAGCCUGACGCAGCGACGCCGCGUGGGGGA
Molecule: ribosomal RNA, 390 nt
Filed under: uncultured bacterium
Lineage: Bacteria
Description: bacterial SSU rRNA
Rfam family: Bacterial small subunit ribosomal RNA
Source: RNAcentral